AACUGAUACUACCUGCGGGAACCUGCGGAAGGAUCAUUACCGAGUAUCGGGUGCUCUCGCGCUCUACUCCCACCCUGUGCUUAUCUAUAACUGUUGCUUUGGCGGGCCGGUGGGUCACCCACCGCCGGGCGGCGCCUGGAGAGCGCCCGCCAGAGGACCAAGCAAAACUCUUUGUCAACAUGGUCGCAUCUGAGCACGCGAGAAUGAACAAAACUUUUAACAACGGAUCUCUAGAUCGGA
This 240-nucleotide unclassified non-coding RNA is filed under the name soil metagenome. RNAcentral's name for it is "partial contains 5.8S ribosomal RNA, internal transcribed spacer 2, and large subunit ribosomal RNA". The record is from RNAcentral.